RNAcentral lists this unclassified non-coding RNA (217 nucleotides) under Hevea brasiliensis (rubber tree). Lineage: Eukaryota; Viridiplantae; Streptophyta; Magnoliopsida; Malpighiales; Euphorbiaceae. The record is from RNAcentral.
GUGACAGAGAAGGAAUGGCCCUUCAUAGUUGAGUGAAGAGUCAAGAGUCCUGCAAUUCUGGUCCCAACCACAGAAUGCCAUAUUCAAAGCUCUUCCAAUUUGUCAUGAAUGGCAUGAAAAAAUAACAGAGAUCUUAGAAACAGAGUUCAUUACCUCCCACAAUUUCAUCCCUUUAAUGUAUAGCUCUAGGUUGGUUUCAAAGCCAGGUGUUCGCAAG